This 660-nucleotide ribosomal RNA is filed under the name Triticum aestivum (bread wheat). RNAcentral describes it as "partial small subunit ribosomal RNA". The record is from RNAcentral. Lineage: Eukaryota; Viridiplantae; Streptophyta; Magnoliopsida; Poales; Poaceae.
AUGAGUUGUGUGACGUCAGUCAGGUAUGCCGUGAGAAUGAACGGGACUAUCCUCCAGUCCUUUUCGCCUUCUCGGGGCCUGCGUCAAGGUGACCCGUAUUCUCCUUACCUAUUCCUGCUCGUUGCCGAUGGUCUCUCUACUCUGCUACAAUCGGAGAUCAACACUGGUCAUAUUCAGGAGUUCAAGAUCUGCAGAGGGGCGCCUGGCAUUUCUCACUUACUAUUCGCGGAUGAUAGCCUGUUAUUCUUUAAGGCGAAUCAGGACCAAGCCUCGAGAAUUAAGAAUGUACUAACGAGGUAUGAAAAGGCUACGGGCCAACUGUUAAGUCCUAGUAAAUGCUCUAUCAUGCUUGGCAAAUCCUGUAGUCAGGAGGAAGGAAAGAGAGUGGCACAAAUCCUGGGUGUUCAGAAAAUUGAUUUUGAAGAAAAGUAUCUAGGACUUCCAGUCCCUGAAGGAAGAAUGAAGAAUGGUAAAUUUCAGCCCAUUAAAGAGCGUUCAUUGAAGAGAUGUACGGAUUGGUGUGAGAGAUAUUUAUCUAGUGCGGCUAAGGAGAGCCUCAUAAAAUCGGUACUCCAGGCACUAUCUACCUAUGCCAUGAGUGUGUUCAAAUUUUCUGCAGGCUUAUGUGAGGAGCUGUCACAGAUCACCAGAAACUUUUGA